RNAcentral lists this ribosomal RNA (460 nucleotides) under uncultured bacterium. RNAcentral's name for it is "partial 16S ribosomal RNA". It matches the Rfam family "Bacterial small subunit ribosomal RNA", at positions 338 to 795 of the family's 1533-position model. The record is from RNAcentral.
CCUACGGGGUGCAGCAGUGAGGAAUAUUGGUCAAUGGGCGCGAGCCUGAACCAGCCAAGUAGCGUGAAGGAUGACUGCCCUACGGGUUGUAAACUUCUUUUAUAAAGGAAUAAAGUGAGGCACGUGUGCCCUUUUGUAUGUACUUUAUGAAUAAGGAUCGGCUAACUCCGUGCCAGCAGCCGCGGUAAUACGGAGGAUCCGAGCGUUAUCCGGAUUUAUUGGGUUUAAAGGGAGCGGAGAUGGGUUGUUAAGUCAGUUGUGAAAGUUUGCGGCUGAACCGGAAAAUUGCAAUUGAUACUGGCAGUCUUGAGUACAGUAGAGGUAGGCGGAAUUCGUGGUGUAGCGGUGAAAUGCUUAGAGAUCACGAAGAACUCCGAUUGCGAAGGCAGCUUACUAAACUGCCACUGACAUUGAUGCUCGAAAGUGUGGGUAGCAAACAGGAUUAGAUACCCUUGUAGUC